This is an RNA transcript of Prosopis cineraria, 2653 nucleotides long. It is a transcript of the gene named alkane hydroxylase MAH1-like, with no coding region annotated. NCBI's taxonomy places the organism in Eukaryota, Viridiplantae, Streptophyta, Magnoliopsida, Fabales, Fabaceae. The transcript has 3 exons. The record is from RefSeq and is a predicted model, not a curated record.
ACCAGAAUACCAGCAAGCAGGAUUGAACGGCAUUGGCUUAUAGGAGCACAAUUUGAACAUUAUUCUCCUUCUCUAUUCAUUGGCUAUAUAAUUGUAGUUGUAUAGUACAUCAUAUGAUCUAUAGAAGCAAAGCUCUCCGUUUGUAUUCAUGACUACACUCAAGUUCUGCAAAGAAAGGGAGGCACUGGUAAUUUCCUCGGACCCUGGUUUACUGGAAUGAACUAUUUGGUGACCUGUGACCGCAUGAACGUACAUUCGCAUUAUGAGCAAGAAUUUCGCUAACUACAUUAAGGGGCAUGACCUUCGCGAGGUUCUCGAUGCUUUUGGUGAUUCUAUUUUUACUGUAGAUUCAGAUGCAUGGGAACACUACAGGGCACUUCAGCACUCAGUUUUCAAAACAAAAUGCUUCGAGAAGUUUCGGGAGAAGAUUGUUCGAGAGAAGGUGGAGAGUUGUUUGAUUCCUCUUCUUGAUCAUGUCGAGAAGUGAGGGGUUGAAGUGGAUGUGCAAGACGUUUUUGGUUGCUUCAACUUUGAUGCUGCUUGCGCUACAGUCUUAGGAUUUGAUCCAAAAAUCCUCACACUAGAUUUCCAAGAAGUUGCAUGCAUGAGAGCCUUUUGAUGAAGUAGGAGAGUUCAUAUUUUAGAGACACACAAUACCUAAAAGCAUCUGGAAGCUUCAGAGAUGGCUUGGAAUCGGACCAGAGAAGAAGAUGGCCCGAGCAUGUGCAGUGUUUGACCGAUUCCUCUAUGAAAGUAUAGCAUCAAAGAGAGAAAAGCUCCAAAAAAUCAACGGAAACGAGAGGAAACUGACAAUUUGCUAGCAUGUUUGAUGAGGGGGACGAAGGAAAAGAUGACGCGGAUGACAAGAUUCUAAGAGACAUUGCUUUUAGUCUUCUUUUUGCAGGUAGAGAUACCAUAACUUCAGCUCUCACAUGGUUCUUUUGGCUUGUUGCUACACACCCUUCAGUAGAAGCAAAGAUUCAUGAAGAGAUCAAAGAAGAAAAGGAAGUGAAAGAUCAAGUAUAUCUCCAUGCUGCUUUGUGUGAACGUUUGAGAUUGUAUCCUCCCGUACCUUUGGUUCUUAGGCAAACGAUCAAACAUGAUAUUCUUCCUAGUGGGCAUGAGAGACGAUGCUACAAAGACCCCCUCCUUAAAGACAGGCCUAUAUUCGGAAUGCUACCACCAGCUCUCAGCAAUUUAGGUCAGAUUCAUGACUAUAUGACUCAGGCUCUUCAAAGAAAAGAGGGUACAGGGAGCUUCGUUGGACCUUGGUUUACUGGAAUGAACGGUUUGGUGACUUGCAACCCCAUGAACGUACAUCACAUGAUGAGUAAGAAUUUCGCCAACUACAUAAAAGGUCCAGAAUUUCAUGAGAUUUUUGAACCUUUCGGGGAAGGGAUUUUCACUGCAGAUUCAGACACAUGGAAGUAUCACAGGGCACUUCUCCAUUCCUUGUUUAAAACCCCAAGCUUCGAGAAGUUUCUGGAAAAGAUCGUUCGAGAGAAGGUGGAUUUCUGUCUUUCUCCUCUUCUUGAUCAUCUAGAAAGGCAGGGAAUUGAAGUGGAUCUGCAAGACGUGUUCAAUCGCUUCAACUUCGAUAUUAUUUUCUCCAUGGUCUUAGGAUCUGAUCCCAAAAGCCUUGCGGUUGAUUUCCCAAAAGUUACAUGUGAGAGAGCUUUCAAUGAGGCUGAGGAGUUUAUAUUCUACAGAUACUCAGUACCUAGAUGCAUCUGGAAACUUCAGAGAUGGCUUCGAGUUGGAGCAGAGAAGAAGAUGGCUGAAGUAUGUCAAUUGUUUGACCAAUUCCUCUAUGAAAGUAUAGCAUCAAAGAGAGAAGAGCUUAGAAAAAACAAUGAAAUGAAGAAAACAGAGGAGGACUUGCUGACAACUUUGAUGAGGGAGGAACAAGGUAAAGAACAUGUGAAUGACAAGUUUCUAAGAGACACUGCUUUUAAUCUUUUUGUCGCAGGUAGAGACACCAUAACUUCAGCUCUCACGUGGUUCUUUUGGCUUGUCGCUACACACCCUUCAGUGGAAGCCAAGAUUCUUGAAGAAACCAAAGAAGAAAAGGAAAUGAAACAUCAAGUGUAUCUCCAUGGUGCUCUGUGUGAAUCUCUGAGACUGUUCCCUCCAAUACCUUUUGAGCACAAGCAAGCGACCAAACACGACUCCCUUCCUAGUGGACAUGAGGUUUAUCCUGGUACUAUGAUAUUUUUAUCUUUGUACGCAAUGGGAAGGUGAGAGAAAAUGUGGGGAAAAGAUUGCUUGGAAUUCAAACCGGAGAGGUGGAUCUCAGAAAGAAGACGUGUCGUUCACAUACCUUCAUACAAGUUCCUUAGUUUCAACGCCGGACCAAGAACUUGUUUGGGUAAUGACUUGUCUUUCCUUCAAAUGAAGAUAAUGGCGACUUUUAUUUUGAAGAAUUAUCAAGUUCAUGUGGCGGAAGAUCAUCCCGGUUUCUCCAGCCCUUUCAAUAGUGCUUCUGAUGAAGUAUGGUCUCAAAGUUCGAAUCAUAUCAAGAUGAUGGAGUACGGGUAACAUUUACUCAUUCCCUUCAAGUGGUGUGCUGAAACUGCGUUGAUUGCAUGUGUAAAUUACUAUAUUUGAUUUGGAUGUUCAACUAUUUUUAAUAUAUGUAUUACUUAUAGGAAGU